Sciurus carolinensis (gray squirrel) is the source of this 2468-nucleotide long non-coding RNA. RefSeq lists it as uncharacterized. Lineage: Eukaryota; Metazoa; Chordata; Mammalia; Rodentia; Sciuridae. The record is from RefSeq and is a predicted model, not a curated record. The transcript has 3 exons.
UGUGGCUCCCCGCGGCGCCAGCUGACUCCUGGGGCACUGAUGAGACCCGUCUCGAACCCAAGCCUGGCCAUGCCCCCCGAGGGAACCAGAGAGACAGCCAGGGAACAGCCGGGUUACAAACUCCAACCAGACGGAGCUUACAACUUCCCUAGACAAGCCUCCAGGUGGCUCCAGGACAGGGUCCUCAGACUGGCCAGCUGAGUCCCACGUCCCAGGAGGCCUCGGGUGGUGCCCCUGCCUGCCUCCCCUCCUCUGGCAUCCGCUCGGUCUGGCUGCCGAUGACCAAAGGAGCCUUGCACACUGGACCCAGGAGGGACCUUCCUUUGCUGGCCAGGACAUGAUUUUGGUGUUUGACCCAAAGAGAUGACCCUGUCCCUCCACUUCCCUCCCUCAGGAAUGUUCAACAAGAGACACAGGAGACAUUCCCGUCGGUGCAGACACCAGCAGAAAGGUCAAGAGCUGGUGGCCAUGAGGGGGCACGUGGUGGAGGUGAAGUAGGACACAGCUGAUCAGGCUGCCCAGCCACGCGGGACGGGGGCUGGUUCAGCCAGGGAAAUUGCCUCCAGGUCUGGUCAAAGAAAAUCAGCCCUAACACCCGCCGAGGUACUCCCCUGGAUCCAGCCAUACCUGAAGCCGUCUAAUCUUAGACUUAAAUUUUUCAAGCCGCCAAGACGGAAGGCCUAGGAUGCAGAGAGGACACCCGUUUCCUCAAAUGCAGCAAGAAACAUCUCAGGAGGCACCCUGGGGCCCACCCUCCUGUCUUUGAUAAGACGGCCUCCGCUUUGGAGAAGCAAAGGAGCGACGUGUGUUCAGUGGCUUUCAGUGCCUCCCCUCCCCCCAAUUCCGAAACCGGGUUCUCAUGAAGGCGCUUCUCCUGGGCCUCUGGGGACGUGGGACCUGGCUGGGUUGAACUUGUUUUAAAACAUCGGCACAAAUCUCCAAUACCCCCAGGAGGGCACGCUGACCGCCAGCCGGUCAGUGAAAGCCCACCCCACGUCCCGCCCGAGUCCCCCGGGGAAAUGGACUGGAGCCUCCUCCGCCCCCUGAGCAGUCCCCCAGCUGUCCCGGGACAUUUCACGGUGGGUUCCUGCCUUAGGUUCUUCUCUCCUGGCUGCUGUAAGAGCCAGGCGGCAUGGGCCACGGGCCCUGGUCCCCGACCCACGGCGCCGGCUGAGGUCUGUCCCUGAAGUCUGGCUCUUCAAGUUCCUCUUCCCGCUUCCGGAAGCUGCAGGGCCCACGGAGGCAGGGCCGGGAGAGCAGAGGCCGCACCCUCCUCGACCUCAGUCUUCCUUCCUGUAAGGUGGCUCCAUGUGCCGUGGGCAGGGCUGCCCUCCGGCUGCCCGGGAAGCGGUGUGAGGCCCUGCCGCUGGUCUCCUCCAGGCGGGCUUGACCGGGGCGGGCAGCAGCCGGGUGCCCUCGGGGCUCCUGUGUCCUCCUGCCACGAGGUCACCUCUGUUUAAGACGCCUCAGUCCCCGGAGAACCGUUUGCUCAUCCACACGGAGGUGGUGGAUCUCCUCCCCAGCGCACGGGAGGGGACACUGAGGCAGGCACUGCCCAGGCCCGGAGUCUGUUGAUGGAGCCUGUGGCUCUCCUGCCUCACCUGCGGCCUCAGGACAGAGGAGGACAUUCCAAGGGGGCGGCACAGGCGCCCGUCCACCUCCGGCCCAUCUCCGUCCAGCGUGGCCUCUCCUGCCUUGGCACCACGGCGGUGGGAGGUGCCCUCGGGUGGCACCUGCUGCCCGCCCAGAGUCCCGCCCCCCUCACGCCGGCAGCUCUCUAGACACGCGGGUGGGCCGAGCCCAGGCAGGAGCAGACCGGGCCUCACACGCGCCCACAAGCACAGUUGUGCACACACGCGUGUCGCACGGUGCGCAGACACGGCUCCCUCUUCUUCCUGGCCCACCCGGCCCCCGGCCACCUCCCCAGAGCCUGGGCGGCCGUCACCCGUCCCUCCUCCAGCAGGCUGGCCAGCGUGCUCCCAAGCCCGAGGUCACUUCCGCAGCAGCCGUUUGGAAGCGUGAUGGUCUCUCCUGGCCCUCCUGGCGCUCAGCCACCCAGGAGCGGAAGACGGAGGCGGCCUCGGCACGUCCAGGGUUUGCUACCAGGCACUCCCGUCCCUCCCGCUGACCCUCUGGGACCGCCCUCGGCAGCCUCGGUGGGCUGCUCUGGGUCCCCGUGGCCAGGAUGGGGUGCCUGCCGAGGUCGGUGACAGCUUGUUAGGCAGAGUGACCUGCAGCAGGACUGGAGGUGGACAGCCGGGCAGGGGCUCCGAGCAGGGGAGAAGCCACACAGGCCGGGCUGCUGCCCUGGGGCACGGUGACCAGCUGCCAGCUUCACCCGUUGCCUGAAAGGCCGGCAGCGGCAUCACAGGUGGCUUCCCUGGGAAGCCCGGGCACAGCAGCCUCCUGGGACACUCGUGCCCCAGGGCCAUCUGAGAGGCUGGGAGGGACCAGAACUGGACUCGAGG